Long non-coding RNA from Mesocricetus auratus (golden hamster), 1223 nucleotides. RefSeq lists it as uncharacterized. The record is from RefSeq and is a predicted model, not a curated record. Lineage: Eukaryota; Metazoa; Chordata; Mammalia; Rodentia; Cricetidae. The transcript has 3 exons.
CAGGGAGAGCACACACUGGAUGCUGUGGGUUUGUAUUUCACUGGGGGUCUGCUCUCUCCCAGGAAGCCAGAAGGUUGGAUGCUCAAACCACUCCAGCAUAGGGGCAAAGCUGUGGAUCACACCACCUCUCAAGCAACAAAGCAUGCCAUGAUAAUUUGGUGACCUUAGGUGGGGGAAGGAAAGGUCACCAGGAAGAAGAUGGAGAGGCUCUCACUGUAUAGCUCUGGUUGUCCUGGAACUCACCCUAUAGACCGGGCUGGCCUCAAACACACAGCGACCCACCUGGAUCUGCGCCCUAAAUGCUGGGAUUAAAGGGGAGCAUCACCACACCUGCUGGAACUCAGAUUGCUAAUAGGAAUGAGACAGAGCUGACUCAUCUGCCGAAGGCCACAGGCUCCUGUGUGAAAGAGAAGCAUAGAAGUUUCUUUUUCACAUGAGGCUUAAAGGAAGGGCUAGGAAGUAAGGGGACGGUUUGAGGGGAAGGGCUGGGGUGAAGGCCUCCCAUCUUUGCGUUCCCUCUCACGCCUUCCUAAAAACACCAUUCAUUCCAUGACUUUAUUAUUUUCCUUUUUCAUGUGUGUGGUGUGAGUAUAUGUAUAGUCUCGUACAGGAGCAUGUAUACAUGUGCGCACACACAGAAGCCUCAGGUUGGUGUCAGGGAUCCUUCUCUCAACCUCAUUCCGUGAGGUGGCGUCUCUCCAUCAAACUCAGAGCUUUCCUGCACACAGCUAGCCUUGUUAGCCAGCUUGGUCUGAACUCUCCUGCCACCACUCUCUCAGGCUGGAAUUACUGGAUUUACAUGGCUCUGGAGAGCUGAAAUUUGGCCCUGUAGUUUACAAGGCAAUUGUUUUAACCAUUGAGUCAUCUCUCCAGCUCUGAUUCUAUCACUUUAAAUGUCACCCUUCCUCAGGGCUGGAUUUCCACUCCAGCUUUCCAUUGGAUGUCCCCAUAUGACUUUCUUAUAAAUGUCCGAAACUUAAUUCCCAAGUGAACAGAUUUUCACUCAUGCUAACAUAAAAAAAUACCAUCUCCCUCUCAUGCACUUAAUGGCACCACCAAGGACCAGCCUCUCAGGGAAGAAAUGUGAGUCCUACUUGCCGUCUCUGUUUCUCACCCAUCACAUGGACUGUUGUGGGAUAUCUGUUUAAUUAUGCAAAAAUGUGUUGCAUUUGUUUAUGUUAUGGAAUAUUUGUAUAAUUAUGUAAAUAUGUGUUGCUGUUUUA